Molecule: ribosomal RNA, 286 nt
Filed under: uncultured bacterium
Lineage: Bacteria
Description: partial 16S ribosomal RNA
Rfam family: Bacterial small subunit ribosomal RNA
Source: RNAcentral
UCCUACGGGGGGCAGCAGUCGGGAAUAUUGCACAAUGGAGGAAACUCUGAUGCAGUGACGCCGCGUGCAGGAAGAAGGUUUUCGGAUUGUAAACUGCUUUCGACAGGGAAGAAACAAGACAGUACCUGUAGAAUAAGCUCCGGCUAACUACGUGCCAGCAGCCGCGGUAAUACGUAGGUGGCGAGCGUUAUCCGGAAUGAUUGGGCGUAAAGGGUGCGUAGGCGGCCUGCUAAGUCUGGAGUGAAAGGUACCGGCUCAACCGGUACAGGCUCUGGAAACUGGCGGG